This 117-nucleotide non-coding RNA is filed under the name Nomascus leucogenys (northern white-cheeked gibbon). Lineage: Eukaryota; Metazoa; Chordata; Mammalia; Primates; Hylobatidae. The record is from Rfam by way of RNAcentral.
GCUGGGUGUGGUGGCUCACACCUGUAAUCCCAACACUUUGGGAGGCUAAGACAGGUGGAUCACUUGAGGCCAGGAGUUCAAGACCAGCCUGGCCAACAUGGUGAAACCCUGUCUCUA